RNAcentral lists this ribosomal RNA (321 nucleotides) under uncultured Pseudomonadota bacterium. RNAcentral describes it as "bacterial SSU rRNA". It matches the Rfam family "Bacterial small subunit ribosomal RNA", at positions 30 to 351 of the family's 1533-position model. The record is from RNAcentral. Lineage: Bacteria; Pseudomonadati; Pseudomonadota.
AUUGAACGCUGGCGGCAUGCCUUACACAUGCAAGUCGAACGGUAACAGGGAGCUUGCUCCGCUGACGAGUGGCGAACGGGUGAGUAAUGUAUCGGAACGUACCUUUCAGUGGGGGAUAACGCAGCGAAAGUUGCGCUAAUACCGCAUAUUCUGUGAGCAGGAAAGCAGGGGAUCGCAAGACCUUGCGCUGAUUGAGCGGCCGAUAUCAGAUUAGCUAGUUGGUGAGGUAAAGGCUCACCAAGGCGACGAUCUGUAGCGGGUCUGAGAGGAUGAUCCGCCACACUGGAACUGAGACACGGUCCAGACUCCUACGGGAGGCAG